RNAcentral lists this ribosomal RNA (253 nucleotides) under uncultured bacterium. Its description in RNAcentral is "partial 16S ribosomal RNA". It matches the Rfam family "Bacterial small subunit ribosomal RNA", at positions 524 to 776 of the family's 1533-position model. The record is from RNAcentral.
UACGGGGGGGGCAAGCGUUGUUCGGAAUUACUGGGCGUAAAGGGCUCGUAGGCGGCCAACUAAGUCGGAUGUGAAAUCCCCAAGCUUAACUUGGGAACUGCAUCCGAUACUGGAUGGCUUGAAUCCGGGAGAGGGAUGCAGAAUUCCAGGUGUAGCGGUGAAAUGCGUAGAUAUCUGGAGGAAUACCGGUGGCGAAGGCGGCAUCCUGGACCGGCAUUGACGCUGAGGAGCGAAAGCCAGGGGAGCAAACGGG